RNAcentral lists this ribosomal RNA (454 nucleotides) under uncultured Porphyromonadaceae bacterium. RNAcentral describes it as "partial 16S ribosomal RNA". It matches the Rfam family "Bacterial small subunit ribosomal RNA", at positions 341 to 792 of the family's 1533-position model. The record is from RNAcentral. Lineage: Bacteria; Pseudomonadati; Bacteroidota; Bacteroidia; Bacteroidales; Porphyromonadaceae.
ACGGGAGGCAGCAGUGAGGAAUAUUGGGCAAUGGAGGCAACUCUGAUCCAGCCAUGCCGCGUGAAGGACUAAGGCCCUAUGGGUCGUAAACUUCUUUUGACGCAGGGCAAUAAGGGCUACGUGUAGUCCGAUGAGAGUAUGCGUCGAAUAAGCAUCGGCUAACUCCGUGCCAGCAGCCGCGGUAAUACGGAGGAUGCAAGCGUUAUCCGGAUUUAUUGGGUUUAAAGGGUGCGCAGGCGGGAUGUCAAGUCAGUGGUGAAAUGGUGCGGCUCAACCGUAGCAUUGCCGUUGAAACUGGCGUCCUUGAGUGCGAAUGAGGUACGCGGAACGUGUCAUGUAGCGGUGAAAUGCAUAGAUAUGACACAGAACACCGAUUGCGAAGGCAGCGUACUGGGACGCGACUGACGCUGAGGCACGAAAGUGCGGGGAUCGAACAGGAUUAGAUACCCUGGUA